Molecule: small nuclear RNA, 101 nt
Filed under: Mus pahari (shrew mouse)
Lineage: Eukaryota; Metazoa; Chordata; Mammalia; Rodentia; Muridae
Source: RNAcentral
UUGCUUCCUCAGCACAUAUACUGAAGAGAACAACACAGAAAAGCUUACCAUCGCCACUGUACAAGGAUGGUAUGCACCUCUCUGAAGAAUUCUAUUUGAAU